Long non-coding RNA from Onychostoma macrolepis, 492 nucleotides. RefSeq lists it as uncharacterized. Lineage: Eukaryota; Metazoa; Chordata; Actinopteri; Cypriniformes; Cyprinidae. The transcript has 3 exons. The record is from RefSeq and is a predicted model, not a curated record.
CUCGUAAUCACGACUUCAGAAGUUAUCAAAUUUCCGACAGCACAUGAAGGCAGCAUAAGAACACACUAACUUUCUAAAUUAACUGUUCGGAUACAUCGGUCUUAUUCCUUUGUAACUACGUAAAGACUAAAACAUAAACCGCCAAGAAAAUGUACUUUUUUCACAACUUGUAAUACGUUGUACGAGUCUAAAAACUGUUUAACAAACCCCUUCAACUCAUCGUUCAUGGCGCUGAAAAGCCUAUGAAAGUUGUCGUCUUCGUUUUGGCGUUUCACUCACCAUGACAUUAAAUAAACCAAUCACAAGCCUCUGGAGGUUUGUACAGCCCACUUGGAGCUGAAGUCCCACCAAUUUGGAGCUGGCUCCGACCUCAUUUAUACCCAUCUCGUGGACUGACACGGAGGAAAAGGUCCUGACUGCCACCAGUUGAGUCAAUGAUUCAGUGGAGAGACAGUCUGGGCAGCAGCAACAAGGCAACUAUUACAAGUAGAG